RNAcentral lists this ribosomal RNA (254 nucleotides) under uncultured bacterium. Its description in RNAcentral is "partial 16S ribosomal RNA". It matches the Rfam family "Bacterial small subunit ribosomal RNA", at positions 524 to 777 of the family's 1533-position model. The record is from RNAcentral.
UACGGAGGAUCCAAGCGUUAUCCGGAAUCAUUGGGUUUAAAGGGUCCGUAGGCGGCCCUGUAAGUCAGUGGUGAAAUCUUUCGGCUCAACCGGAAAAUUGCCAUUGAUACUGCAGGGCUUGAAUUAUUGGGAAGUAACUAGAAUAUGUAGUGUAGCGGUGAAAUGCUUAGAGAUUACAUGGAAUACCGAUUGCGAAGGCAGGUUACUAUCAAUUAAUUGACGCUGAUGGACGAAAGCGUGGGGAGCGAACAGGA